GCCUGUAGUCCCAGCUACUUGGGAGGCUGAGGUGGGAGGAUCGCUUGAGCCCAGGAAUUCUGGGCUGCAGUGUGCUAUGCCGAUUGGGUGUCCACACUAAGUUCGGCAUCGAUAUGGUGACCUCCCUGGAGCGGGGGACCACCAGGUUGUCUAAGGAGGGGUGCACUGGCCCAGGUCAGAAACAGAGCAGAUAAAAACUUCCGUGCAGAUCAGUAGUGGGAUUGCGCCUGUGAAUAGCCACUGCACUCCAGCCUGGGUAACAUAGCAGGAUCCCAUCUCA
RNAcentral lists this signal recognition particle RNA (280 nucleotides) under Cebus imitator (Panamanian white-faced capuchin). Its description in RNAcentral is "Metazoan signal recognition particle RNA (ENSCCAG00000009704.1)". It matches the Rfam family "Metazoan signal recognition particle RNA". From Rfam's summary of the family: The signal recognition particle (SRP) is a universally conserved ribonucleoprotein. Lineage: Eukaryota; Metazoa; Chordata; Mammalia; Primates; Cebidae. The record is from RNAcentral.